This 65-nucleotide transfer RNA is filed under the name Pyrocoelia pygidialis. RNAcentral describes it as "tRNA-Phe". The record is from RNAcentral. Lineage: Eukaryota; Metazoa; Arthropoda; Insecta; Coleoptera; Lampyridae.
UAUUCUAAUAGCUUAUUUAGAGCAUAAUAUUGAAGAUAUUAAGGAAAUUUGAAAUUUUAGGAUAU